GUGGGAGCAAACUGUGCGCUCGUCCCCCAAAUCGCACUUCCAUUCCCUCCCAAAUCCGCGCCUUCUUCUCCUUCGAUCCAUCGUCAUCGGGUAGUAGUGGCAGCUCCUCUGGAACCUUGCACGUCGAUUUCCCACGAAGGACCUUUAAGAACGAGGUUCUUUUGGUUAGGUUUGUGAUUCAAGAGCUCCCAUUGUCUUUGUUCAUCACAUUCUACAUUGUGUCAGCACUCAGUGGCUUCCUUUAGACCCUCCUGAAAGGUUAGCAUUGCUGUUUCACAUAACUCGGUGAACAUUUCCAUGGCAUCAUUUUUUGCUGCUUAAUAAGAAAUAAAAGAGCAAUGGGAAGAAAGUUCUGUUUAGAGGAAGCUCAUAUUGUUUUAGAAUUAUAUAUUCAUUCUCAGGCUUUUUUUUUUUUUUUUCUUGAACGGAAUUCAUAGAAUUUUGAACUAUCAAAAGUUUAUUACCCUUUGAACAUAAAACAGUUGUAUUUGGUGAACUUAAUGAUGGUCAACGAUAGCAACCAUUCUGCUUUCAUUAUUAGAUUCCUUUGUGUGUCUGUUGGCAUUUUAUAUAGUAAAUAAGCAGUCCGUGAUACAAAAUUUGACCUCUUUGACAUAUUCUCCUUCACCGAUAGAUGUAGCAGAGAAAAGUCAAUAAGCCUUCAACUCUUAUUUGAGUCAAUUUGAGUUCCUGAUAAGAGUGACUGAAUGGCAUACCUUUCUUUUGUAUGAACUCUAUAGGUUUGCUUAUCUUCUCCCUCUUUUUUUUUUUCUAAUUUUUUAAUUUAAAUCGGGAACAACCCGACAACCUUUUUAUCGGACGAACUCUUCGAGGGGUAUGAUUCGAAUCCUUGUUUUUGUUUCAUUCAUCUUUCCGUCGACAUGCUUGACAUGACAAGAGAUGGGCCUGAGAUAGCGUGUUCCGUCAUUUCCUCUGCUGUAGGCAAGCGCGAGCACUGGCCUUCUGAGCUAAACUAUAACACGGUGAGGUUCUCUUCGUUAUCCUUUCUAAUAGAUAUUUUCCUUCCAUUCGUCACUGUCAACGUUAUGUUGGUCGAAGUCCUUUCACCAGUAACAUUUUUAUUUCAGUGCCUUCCCCUACCAACAUAUUCUUGAACACGGGAUCUUUGACCCGUUCCAAGUUUCCAAGUUCUUCGGGUCCGCGUGGGGCUUCGAAAUGUCCAAAAAGCCCUCGAUCCUUGUGGAUGGAGUGGGGUGUAGAUGUGAGGGCAUCUUCGUCUAUUGAACCUUAAUCUUCUGGAAACAUUCCGCGCACGCGCGCGUACUCGGCCCCCGCGGCUCUCCGGGGAAGAAAGCCCGUUCGUGUCGCUUCGAGAUACGUAGAAUCACAGAUCUCAAAGCACAAAUGACUUCAUGGCACUGCUGCUACGCGGGCGCGCUGUGUCGCGGUCCGCGUCUCGCCCGCGUCCAUGGGCAUUGCGGGCUCCUUUCACCGCGGUUAACUUGGACAUUUUAUGUUUUAUUUAGAAGGGCAUAUCCCGCUUUGGUGGGACAUGGCAAGUCGCGGUCUCCUUUCCUUUUGUUUCUUUUAAAUUUGUCCGCGUAUUUGUUCCUUCCGAGGAAGGUUCAUAAAAGGCGCCUCUUCGCCUUUCUCCUACCCUCGAUCAUCGAAGGUUUCCAAGCAAGCCAACAAGCAAACGCUACCUCGACGAAGGUCUUCGGGGUAGUGUUUCGCUCCCUCCAGUCUCUUUCGUUUUCCUCUCAUUCCCGCCCCCACCUUGAAACAUCUCUUGCUCCGUAAGAAUGAAUUGAGUGGUUCGGUUCCACCGAUAAUGCCCGCUGCGGUCUACCAGGGCUUGUCCUCCUCCUUCUCGCCCUCCCUCGGCCGGUUCAUCCCAAGCGUCCGCGGCGACCAGAUCCACGCCAUUGACGCCCGCCACCACAUGGCCGCGGGCGCCGCCGCCGAGCAGCCGGAUCUGCUCGCCUUCCAGCGCUGCGUCGCUGACCACUUCCUCGACCUCUCCGUCGUCGACGCCGAUGGUCUUCUGUCCCUUUCCUGGCUUCGCAAGCUCCUCCACUCCUUCCUUGUGUGCCAUGAGGCAUUCCGGCCCCUCCUCCUAGACCGCUGGUCACUCAUCGCUCGCCCACCCCUUGACCGUCUCGUCGCCGACUUCUCAGAUCGCACCGUCAAGGCCCUCGACAUCUGCAACGCAGCUCGGGAUGGCGUCGACCAGCUCCGUCGCUUGGAGACCCACCUCGAGAUCGUGGUUGCCGCGCUUGGCCCCGCCGCCGCUUCCUCCGCCCGCCACGGACACCGCGAGGGCCAGCUCCGCCGCGCCCGCAAGGCCCUCGCCGAACUCGCUGUCAUGCUCGACGACAGGGACUCCGGCUCGAUCCCCUCCCACCGCAACCGCUCCUUCGGCCGCAGCGGCAGCGGCAGCGCUGGCUCCUCUUCGUCCUCCUCGCCGAGCGGCAGCCGCCGUCUCUCCCACUUCCGCUCCCUCUCCUCUAGCGUGUCCCGCUCAUGGUCCUUAGUGCGGCAGCUGCAGGCCAUUGGGAGCAACAUGGCCGCACCUCGCGGCCACGAGGUCGAGGCCACCGCCGGACUCGCGGUGCCCGUCUACACGAUGAGCGCGGUGCUACUGUUUGCGAUGCGGUCCCUGGUAGCUGCGAUCCCAUGCCAUGAUCGCAGCAACCAGGCCCACUUUUCCAUUCCGCGGACCUUCCCGUGGGCAGCGCCUAUCAUCUCUAUUCAUGAGCGGAUCGUGGAGGAGUCCAAGAAGAAGGAACGGAGGAACUCAACCGGACUGCUGAAGGAAAUCCAACAGAUUGAGAGGUGCACGCACCAAUUGAUGGAGCUGACACAGGCCAAUCAGUUCCCGAUGUCAGAGGAGAAGCAGGAGGAGCUGAGGCAGAGGGUGGAAGAGUUAGAACAGGUCUGUGUGGUCUUGAAGGAAGGACUUGGCCCGUUGGAACGCCAGGUGAGGGAGGUCUUCCUUCGGAUCAUGUGCAGCCGCAUUGACGGUUUCGAUCGCUUGUCUCAGACUAUGCAAUGAAAGCUCCCAUUUUUUGUCCUGUGGCAGAAACAACUAUCUGAUGUUAAUGAUAUGGGGCCAUUGUCAUUGCAAAUUGGAAUGAGAAUAGAGAAAAAAAUGAAGUGAAGUAGAUAAAGUGAAGGAAUUGAUAUAGAGCAAAUGAGUCUUCAUUCACACAAAUAAUCAGUCACCUGAGAUCAGUUCAAUCAAUGUAAUUGUUCAACUACUAUGAUUGUCGGCCAGACAGCAGCUAUGUCAUCUUCAGCAAGUUUUUCCAGCUUCAAGGACAGUUUAUGUUUGAACAGAUCUUUGAGCAUCAAGUUUGCCUCUUCCAAUUUGAGGGACAUGCAGUUUUGCUUUCAACAAUUUUGUCUGCUACUAGCUAACCUCAUUUGAAUUUUGAUCACCCUGAAAGUUUUUAUCAUGCAGGAAAAGAAAAGAAUUUCCAGCAAAAAAUAUAACGUAGACGGACAUCCCAUUAUCAUUUCAGCAGCAGCAGCAGUGUAUCUUUCAACGUGCACUAUUCAUGUUCAGCAUCAUAAAGCUUCACUAGUUGUACCAAAAGCAUACAAGACCUGAACCAUUGGACUGGAAGCGACAACCAGAGAGGAACCAAAGGUGUUCGUAUAUUGAGCAUCGAUGGCCAAACUCACCAUUUUAUUACCGAAGAGCAGUUAGUGUGCAAUUAGAAGGCAUCGCUCUUACCCUCGUCAUCAACCACAGACCACAAGGACUUGCUACUUUUGUUGAUCGCAGAGCAAUUAGUCCGGAUCUCGCCUUUGUUGCCCGUCAACACGCUGAGCUGACCCAUCUUGGUCAUGGAGUAGACGAACUUCUCGAAGAACAAGGUCUGGUUAACAGCGAAGUUGAUGACGAUGGACUUCGUCGUCGUGUUGGUGUACAGAUCCUGGUCGGAGGUGAACAGCCCCUGUCUGUUCAUGAGAUCCACGUAGUACUUGUUGUCGAAUUUGUCGGGUGACCGGAUGUCGAGCACGGUGGUGUUGUUGGUGUUAUUGACCGGGCAGGUCAGGUAGAGGUUCUUGGCGAAGGUCUUGUCCAUGUUGGGGUCCUGGGAUGGGAAGAGUCGGUUAUCGAAGGAGGGGCAGUGGCCAAUGCCGAUGGUGUGGCCGCCGGAGAGGGUGACGAGGUCGUUGGCGUCGAGGUUGAGCUGGCUGAGGGCGGCGAGGAGCGCGGUCACGUCGGAUCUGGGGGAAGGAAGGAAUUUGAGCACCUCAUCCUGUGUUGCAAAGGUCAAGCCAUCCCGCCGGCCGAAAGGAACCUUGUAGCCAGGGCCACCCGACUGAAGAAGAAGACGACAGAAGGAUACGGACGCUUAGACACAGAUUUUGAUGCAUAUAUGUGGGUUGAAGUCGAGAUGUCUAGAUUUCUAAUGGCCAUCGGUGGUUUGGUUUCAGGAGGAGAGGCUGUACCAAGUGAACAGAGUCGCGGGCGGCGAGAGCGGCGAUGUCAGCGCAGGAGACGGUCUGCCCACAAGCUUGGGUAACGAGAACCUGGAGGUCGUUGAGAGCUUUGAAGGCUGCCGGCCGGAGCGUCAAGUUGGGCGGCGCGUUCUGCUCGCCCGGCCCACCUGCCGACCCGUCCAACAAUAUCGAUCCGUCGCAGCCCUGCACAUGAGCAGCACAUCCACCAUCACAAAUCCAGCUAGCGAACACUGUGUGGCCACUCACGGUAGCCACUGGGUGCCGCAGAGAUACCUGAACGAAGCAGUCAUGGAAAUGAACUCGGAGGAGGGCAGCAGCGAGGCCGAUGUUCUUCUUGAAUUCUUGCUUUAGGUAGUUCCUGACUACGGACUCCAAGCUGGGGCAGGUGGUCUUGUAGAAGUCGAAGGAGAGGCCCUUCACCAGAGGAGGGUAAUCAAAGGCUUCCGAAGUGGAGGAGAGGAAGACAAUGCAAGAGACCAGGAGCAGCAGCCGAGACGUCGGAGCAGUAGCAGCCAUGGGUGGUGAGCAAGGAGAAGAGCUCGUUCUCGGCACAAGCCUCUUCCUACUCCGACGCACCCUCAUUUAUAGGCAUUAAUGGCUAUACAGAUCAUGAAUGGACCAUUUUUUUCUUCUCCAUGUUUCAGAUAAGGUGCAUCGUUCCCUGCUCGUGGUCCACUCGUGGAGUCAUUUCCACCAGGAAGCUUCGUCGCCACAUCCAAGUCGUAUGCCGGAGCGUAUCUCGACCACCUGCAUCGGGGGAAGGUGAGGGGCAAAACCCCACUGUAAAAAACAAAAGGCACCAUGGCCAUUUUCUCAAGCUGCCAUCUUUGACCCAGUCCGAAGAAGAAGAUCUGCCUUGGCAGAUGCAGAGAGUAAAGUCGGGGCCAAAGAAAAGCCGACAGACAACCAGCAGCCCAUCGGGCAAUCAGUCGAACCGCAAAGAUGAGGGAGGAGAAGCAGUUGAUGUCACAAGAUUGGAGAAAAGACAGCCUCUCCGACGAAACAAGGAAGUCCAAUUGUAUCUUUUAUUGUUUGUUUGUUUGUUUGACCUAAAUCGAGCACGAGGACCGGAGAGGAGAGACUUGUGUUCA
RNA transcript from Musa acuminata AAA Group (dessert banana), 5528 nucleotides. It is a transcript of the gene named protein ROH1D-like, with no coding region annotated. The record is from RefSeq and is a predicted model, not a curated record. The transcript is spliced from 6 exons. Lineage: Eukaryota; Viridiplantae; Streptophyta; Magnoliopsida; Zingiberales; Musaceae.